GUUUCUUUAAUGUGAGGUAAAUUAGAGCUCAGUGCCACGAAUAAUAUACUAGAUUGCCUACUUACAACCAGAUGAGGAUGAUGAUGGGCUCUAGCUUCAGUCUGGCUCCACUGGUCUGGUGUAGAACAGGCUCUCUGGAGGCGUUUUGUAACUGUGGUCACAAAAAUCAAUGUUCUGGGAGAACGGGAAGCAGCUCCAUUUUUUGGGGGCCCUUUACACAGCUCAAGGUCUGGGUCCCAGGGUUCACCUUCAUGUUCCACCAAUGAGUUUGUUCACAGGGGGUGGAGUGUGUAGGGGAUGUCCUGAUAUGUGUGUAAGGAAUGCAUUGUGUGAAAUUGUGUUUGUAUGUGUAAGGGCUGCAAGGUGUGUUUCUGUGUAUGUAUGGGAUGCAUUGA
Molecule: non-coding RNA, 395 nt
Organism: Pelobates cultripes (western spadefoot toad)
Lineage: Eukaryota; Metazoa; Chordata; Amphibia; Anura; Pelobatidae
Source: the annotation of a GenBank genome assembly